AUUGAACGCUGGCAGCAGGCCUAACACAUGCAAGUCGAGCGGCAGCGGGAAGUAGCUUGCUACUUUGCCGGCGAGCGGCGGACGGGUGAGUAAUGCCUGGGGAUCUGCCCAAUCGAGGGGGAUAACUACUGGAAACGGUAGCUAAUACCGCAUACGCCCUACGGGGGAAAGCAGGGGACCUUUUGGCCUUGCGCGAUUGGAUGAACCCAGGUGGGAUUAGCUUGUUGGUGAGGUAACGGCUCACCAAGGCGACGAUCACUAGCUGGUCUGAGAGGAUGAUCAGACACACUGGAACUGAGACACGGUCCAGACUCCUACGGGAGGCAGCAGUGGGGAAUAUUGCACAAUGGGGGAAACCCUGAUGCAGCCAUGCCGCGUGUGUGAAGAAGGCCUUCGGGUUGUAAAGCACUUUCAGCGAGGAGGAAGGGGAGUGAGCUAAUACCUUACUUCAUUGACGUUACUCGCAGAAGAAGCACCGGCUAACUCCGUGCCAGCAGCCGCCGUAA
RNAcentral lists this ribosomal RNA (506 nucleotides) under uncultured bacterium. RNAcentral describes it as "partial 16S ribosomal RNA". It matches the Rfam family "Bacterial small subunit ribosomal RNA", at positions 30 to 523 of the family's 1533-position model. The record is from RNAcentral.